Molecule: long non-coding RNA, 1811 nt
Filed under: Androctonus crassicauda
Lineage: Eukaryota; Metazoa; Arthropoda; Arachnida; Scorpiones; Buthidae
Source: RNAcentral
UACUAUUAUUACUAUUAUUAUUAUAUUAUUAUUAGUGGGUUGUAAAUCUUAAAAUUAGGAGAAAUGUAUAAUGUAGCUUUUUGGCGUCUUAAAAUCAGUAUAAUUGUUUGUAAACUUAAGAUGCAAAAAUCUUUGAAUCAUCGUUGUGGUAUUUUUAUAUGUUAUAAUUUUUGUAUUAGUGAAAUUUCAUGUUCUAAUACAUACUUCACUUGUACUGUCUUUAGAAUAUGUAUGGAAACUCCCUGGAUUGCCACCUCGCAUGGCUAUACAGUGAGGAAUAAAGGAUUAUAUAUUGGAGGAUUGGAUCUGCCCUGGAUCAGUAGGGAAACGGAUACAUGGAUGUGCACGAAAUAAGGAUGGAUACAAACACUUACACCAAGGAUUAACAGAACAGAACUAAUUGUAAAGAGGAACAUUUACACACUUGCCACAUUCGGAAGUGUUAGUCGCUUUGAUAAACAUAAUAAGGGGAUCACUACCUGGAAUAUAUAUGGGCAGUUAUGGAUGGAUUACAACAGCUUUCAUUCCUACUUUGCAAAUAGGAAGAGUCAGGGAAAAGGAAAGGGAAUACACACAUUCCAAUAAGGAAAGGAAAUAGGACUUGAAAUAAUUGACUUUAUUCAAAUGGGAUUUGCACAAAGGAGGAUUCACAGGAGAUACUCUGGAUCGAGGGAUUGGGAGAAAGCAUGGAUGCGCCGUGGGACAGAGGGUAUGAGUUUCAAUAACAAUUUUUUUGCCCAUAUACAUUCAUUAAUAAAUAAAUGCUCUCACCUAUAAUUGAACAUUCACAGAUAUACACAUUUAAAUUUUAAUAUAAAUUAUAUGUGAACGAAUAAAUUAAAAAUUAACUAAUCUUCACUAUAACAUAGAAUAAAAAUUCGUGCAUUAUUUUAAUAUUAAAUACUAUAAAAAUUUUACAAAUUUUUCUGGGGGGGUUGAAAUUUAAUUUAUAACGUCCUAUCCUAUGGUUGAGAGCUUAAUAUUUUGAAUAUUAAAAUCAAUUUAAAAUUAAUUCAUAAAUAUUCGAGAUUAGCUUAUCCAUUUACUAAUCAAUUGUUUUUUAUUUACAUACUGUUUAAACAAAACCAUCUAUUGAUUUGCUUAAAGUUGAUACUUAAAUUCUUAAUUUGUAGUCAAACAUUGUGAGGAUCAAGUUGAGGAUCUUUGAAGUUACAUUUCCAAGGCUUCAAACUUUGUCAGUUAGGAGAUUCCUCGUAAUGUAGGAUGAUGGCGAGAAGAUAAUUUUGGAUUACUGGAUUUAAAAAAGUAGCCAUAGUUUUAGCAUCAAUUUAGAAAAUCUAUGAUAUUUUAACUUAUCUGAAUCACAAUCAUUUUCCAUUUAAUUUUGAAAUUUAAUUAUUUAUUUAAAAUUUUAUACUUUAGAAUAAUUUUUCUCUUAAGUGUGAAAUUUUAUGAAAGUUUCUUGAAUGAAUUAUGCAAUAAUAAAUUUGUUAUUUGGCUACCUGUGAUGAUACAAAAUUUGGUAAGUAAAUAAGGUAAGCUUGACUGAAAUUUUAGGUUUUUCUCAUGCUUUGAAGAUAUUCAUUUUUUACUCCCUGUUAUAGUUCUUUAAUUCAUUUUCUGCACAAUGAUCAUAUUUUUACAUAGUGCACACACAAAUUAAUAUAUUUUUUCUAUUAUAUAUACAUACUAUAAAUGACAGUUAACAACUAUCUAUCUAUAUAUAUUUGUGUGUCUGCAGGAAUACUUUAGGCAUUUCUGGGUAUGAUAGGAGUUUGGGGUUUUGCAUGGAAGUGGGGAUUGUCCCAGAUUUUCUAUGGAAAUUAUGAAAUUAACGAGGCACCUCAGAG